Heterocephalus glaber (naked mole-rat) is the source of this 563-nucleotide long non-coding RNA. RefSeq lists it as uncharacterized. Lineage: Eukaryota; Metazoa; Chordata; Mammalia; Rodentia; Bathyergidae. The record is from RefSeq and is a predicted model, not a curated record.
CUCACGGCGUUGCUGGUUUCCCCACCCACCUAGCGUCUCCCAAGCAACCGCGGAGCCAAGUGGCAAAAUCCCGAAGCCUCAAAUCUCUGACCUCCCAGUGCUUCCUAGGGCGGCUUACCUUUACCACCUGUACUGGUGCUAUAAUUUAAGGUUUCACCAAGUCGCUGAAUUGCCCAAGCUGGGCUCCAAUUUACCCUCCUCUAGCCUCAGACUCGCAGAUGGCUGGCUUUACAGAGGUUUCACUCCAUGGUCACCUGGCCCCAUUGUUUUGGGCCUGUGAUGCCACAGUGUAACAUGAAGGACCACACAGCAGAGGAGGGAGUUCACCUCAUGGCAGACAGGAAGCAAAGAGAAAGAGGAAGGGGGGAUCGAACUCGGGGACCUUGCACUUGUGAGGCAGGCGGCGGAACCACUGAGCUAAAUCCCUGCCCCAAGGAAUACUGAAUUAUUGAGGCCCUUUUUUUCCCUUUGCCAUUUCUCCCUUUGCCCCUUUUUCCUUCCUCCCCCUGCCCCUGCCUUCACCCUUCUGCCUAUUCUUGCUGCUGUCUUGGGCUCUUCAAUAA